Phyllostomus hastatus (greater spear-nosed bat) is the source of this 436-nucleotide long non-coding RNA. RefSeq lists it as uncharacterized. The record is from RefSeq and is a predicted model, not a curated record. NCBI's taxonomy places the organism in Eukaryota, Metazoa, Chordata, Mammalia, Chiroptera, Phyllostomidae. The transcript has 2 exons.
AAGAGAGGGGAAGCUCAGUUUAGAGCAGAGUUUCUCAACCUUGGCACAAGGGGCACUUGAGAGUGGACAGUCCCGUGCAUUUAUAGGAUGUGUAGCAGGCUCCCUGCCCUCUACCACGGGAUGCCGAUAGCACCUCCAUUCCAGUUAUGACCAGUAAACACGUCUCCGCUUGUUGAUAAUAUAUCCCCUGGAGGCGAAAUCACCUCGAGUUGAGAAGCACGGGUUUAAGGGUGGAGGUCCUCCCACUUGCCGAUGCCUCGGACUUAUGUAGCGGAGCAAUAUGGGGAGGAAGCUGGCUGUCUGCAGAACCUCGGAGGCUGCGCUCGCGACCAGGAAAUUGAAGAAAACGCUGUCAGUUGUGUUCUCAGUUGUUAAAGACGUGAAACAUUCCUUUCACUUUUCGUGUGGAUUUAAUAAAUACUCACAGGAAGCGUUA